RNAcentral lists this ribosomal RNA (492 nucleotides) under uncultured bacterium. Its description in RNAcentral is "partial 16S ribosomal RNA". It matches the Rfam family "Bacterial small subunit ribosomal RNA", at positions 29 to 507 of the family's 1533-position model. The record is from RNAcentral.
AGUGAACGCUGGCGGUAGGCCUAACACAUGCAAGUCGAACGGCAGCACAGUAAGAGCUUGCUCUUACGGGUGGCGAGUGGCGGACGGGUGAGGCAUACAUCGGAAUCUACUUUUUCGUGGGGGAUAACGUAGGAAAACUUACGCUAAUACCGCAUACGACCUACGGGUGGAAGCAGGGGAUAUUCGCACCUUGCGCGUUUGAAUGAGCCGAUGUCGGAUUAGCUAGUUGGCGUGGUAAAGGCCCACCAAGGCGACGAUCCGUAGCUGGUCUGAGAGGAUGAUCAGCCACACUGGAACUGAGACACGGUCCAGACUCCUACGGGAGGCAGCAGUGGGGAAUAUUGGACAAUGGGCGCAAGCCUGAUCCAGCCAUACCGCGUGAGUGAAGAAGGCCUUCGGGUUGCAAAGCCCUUUUGUUGGGAAAGAAAAGCAGCAGGUUAAUACCCCGCUGUUCUGACGGUACCCAAAGAAUAAGCACCGGCUAACUUCGUG